Molecule: long non-coding RNA, 268 nt
Filed under: Dunaliella salina
Lineage: Eukaryota; Viridiplantae; Chlorophyta; Chlorophyceae; Chlamydomonadales; Dunaliellaceae
Description: long non-coding RNA (DSAL_LNC000498)
Source: RNAcentral
AGCCGAUGUAGCUCCACUGAUUAGGGCGCAGCCCUUUUGCGUUCCUCUAGUAAGAGCCAAUGGUCUUCCUUUACCCUCCAGAGUUUCUUGUACAAUCCGAUAAAUGUUCAAAGAACUAUUUACAUCACGGUUCCAUAGCCUUGAACAGUUCUUACAACUGAGAAGCCCAUGUCUCGUGAUUAUAGUAUCYUUUUUCCAUGGUUUAGGAUGGUUACAUUUUCGGAAUGUUUCACAUUCACCAUUACAAGCAAAGCAUGUACAACUCGUA